Molecule: transfer-messenger RNA, 360 nt
Filed under: Mesomycoplasma neurolyticum
Lineage: Bacteria; Bacillati; Mycoplasmatota; Mycoplasmoidales; Metamycoplasmataceae
Also listed under: 1 other name
Description: Mycoplasma neurolyticum transfer-messenger RNA
Rfam family: transfer-messenger RNA
About the family: Bacterial tmRNA, also known as 10Sa RNA or SsrA, is named for its dual tRNA and mRNA-like properties. Its role is to liberate the mRNA from a stalled ribosome. To accomplish this part of the tmRNA is used as a reading frame that ends in a translation stop signal.
Source: Rfam by way of RNAcentral
GGGGGUGUAAUGGCUUCGACAUUCAUAAGCAAUUCUAAAGUUCAGUGGUCUAAUAAACCAUAAAUAUUUCUAGGCUUCAAUUAAACGGAAAAGCUAAAAAAGAAGAUGUUACAUUAAAUAUGUUAGCAACUUCAAAUAACAACUAUAAUUUUUCUUUCGCUUAAAAUAGCGGAUUGUUUUAUUAAAAAACAUUAAAUCAUAGAUUAAAUUGAUCACCAUAAAUUUAAUCUUUCGAAUGGUGGCUAGUGAAUAAAUUUUGAUAGUUUUAUAAUUCAAACUAGUUUUCAAAAAACUACUAAACUGUAAACCUUUAUUAUUGUUUUUGUGUGGACCCGGGUUCAACUCCCGGCAUCUCCACCA